Molecule: ribosomal RNA, 498 nt
Filed under: uncultured bacterium
Lineage: Bacteria
Description: partial 16S ribosomal RNA
Rfam family: Bacterial small subunit ribosomal RNA
Source: RNAcentral
GACGAACGCUGGCGGCGUGCCUAAUACAUGCAAGUCGAGCGGACGGAUGGGAGCUUGCUCCCAGACCGUCAGCGGCGGACGGGUGAGUAACACGUGGGCAACCUGCCUGUAAGACUGGGAUAACUCCGGGAAACCGGGGCUAAUACCGGAUAACUCUUUCCCUCCCAUGAGGGAAAGCUGAAAGAUGGCAUCUCGCUAUCACUUACAGAUGGGCCCGCGGCGCAUUAGCUAGUUGGUGGGGUAACGGCUCACCAAGGCGACGAUGCGUAGCCGACCUGAGGGGGUGAUCGGCCACCCGGGAACUGAGACACGGCCCAGACUCCUACGGGAGGCAGCAGUAGGGAAUCUUCCGCAAUGGACGAAAGUCUGACGGAGCAACGCGGCGUGAGUGAUGAAGGUGUUCGGAUCGUAAAACCCUGUUGUCAGGGAAGAACAAGUACCGGAGUAACUGCCGGUACCUUGACGGUACCUGACCAGAAAGCCACGGCUAACUACGUG